This 5187-nucleotide ribosomal RNA is filed under the name Triticum aestivum (bread wheat). RNAcentral describes it as "partial small subunit ribosomal RNA". The record is from RNAcentral. Lineage: Eukaryota; Viridiplantae; Streptophyta; Magnoliopsida; Poales; Poaceae.
AUGGCAUUCUUCAGUAAUUCUGGGAGCAGGGCUGAUUCGGGAGGGUACAACUUGAACGAGAAGGCUGAUGACGAAGGCGCGUAUGAGUCAGUCAGGGAUAGGGACGCCGACUUGAACUCAGGCCAGUUGAACUUGAAUGAGAAGGCUGAUGAUGCCUACCACAGUGAGGAGGAGCAAUACGAAGCUGGCCAGUCAGGUCUGAACCCUUCUGAGAUUAAAUCAGGGCAGAAUGCUCAGAGAGUAGGUGGUCCUUCUGGCCCAUGGGGUACAAACUUUUUGAAGGACUGCAGAUCCACGGAAGGGGAAGAACCAUCAAAUAGUGAUAGGGGAAUGGAAGACGGGUCUGCGGCUAGCUCACAUGAUGACAUGGAUGGUAGUGGAGAGGAUGAUGAGCUAAACAGAGGGCACGGGGAUGUGCCCGCUGAUGAAAUGCUCUCUGAUGACUAUUAUGAGCAGGACAGAGAGGAGCAGAGUGAUUCAUUGAAUCGUCGUGGGAUGAGCCACCCAAGCUGUUCCACUUCUGGGGUCGCAUCAAAAUCUGUACCCUCAAGACAAAAGAAGUCGACAAAGGGCAGUGCUUAUGACGACGAUGACGAUGCGUAUAAUGAUGAGAAUGACAAUGACGACGAUGACGACGAUGACGCAGAUGAAGAUGAUCCAGAUGAUGUGGAUUUUGAGCCAGACAGUGAAACCGACAAGGCUGCUGUUAAGGAGAAGCUUGUGGACAGUGAGAACUCAGGCGAAGAAGAAGAAGAUGAUGAGCUUGAGCUCUCGGAUGAUGAUGAUGAUUUUAUUGAUAGUAGGAGGCAAUCGAAACGACUUAAGGUCGGAGGAACUAAAACUUCCCAGCGAAAAAAGCUUCCUAUGCAGGCUCCACGCAAACGAGGUGUAUCUUUCACAGACGAAGAAUAUUCUUCAGGAAAAGACUCAGAUGCACCCAACAGUCCUGAUUUUAGUCAUCGACCGAAAAAACCUGUCAGGUUGCAUCUGAAAACUGUGGGCCAUAAUGAUGUUUUCUCAAAUGUCAAUUCCCAUAAUGAAUCCCGAACUUCGGGGAGGAGGAGGACACAGAGAAAUAUCUCAUAUGCUGAAAGUGACAGUGACGAUAGUGAGGAGAAGUCAACUAAACAACAAAAGCUCUUGAAGGAGGAUCAAGAUGAAGAAGAUGGAGAAACAAUUGAAAGGGUCAUUUGGUAUCAGCCAAAGGGUGUCGCUGAGGAUGCACUGAGGAAUGGUCAAUCGACUCAACCUACUGUUAUGAGCAUGCCAUUAGAUUUUGAUCAACAAUGGGAUGAUGUAGAGUUCUACAUAAAAUGGAAAGGGCAGUCUUACUUACAUUGUCAGUGGAAGACAUUAUCCGAGCUUCGUAGUGUUAGUGGAUUUAAAAAAGUUCUAAACUACAUGAAAAGAGUGUCCGAGGAGCAGAGGUACAAGAGGUCACUAUCGCGCGAAGAGGUUGAGGUGCAUGAUGUCGGCAAGGAAAUGGAGUUGGACCUUAUUAAGCAAUAUAGCCAGGUUGAACGGGUAUUUGCUGAUAGGGCAACCAAAGUGGAUGGGGAUGUUGUGGUGCCAGAAUAUUUAGUCAAAUGGCAGGGACUUCCUUACGCAGAAUCGACCUGGGAAAAAGAUACAGAUAUUGAAUUUGCUCAAGAAGCAAUAGAUGAAUACAGGGCCCGUGAAGUUGCCACUGCCAUACUGGGGAAAACAGUUGAUUUCCAAAGGAAGAAAAGCAAAGCUAGUUUGAGAAGGCUUGAUGAUCAACCAGAAUGGCUAAAAGGAGGUAAACUUCGCGAUUAUCAGCUUGAAGGCCUAAACUUUCUCGUUAAUGGGUGGAGAAAUGAUACUAAUGUUAUUCUUGCCGAUGAGAUGGGUCUGGGAAAAACCAUUCAAUCAGUUUCCAUGCUUGGCUUCCUUCAUAAUGCUCAAGAAAUUAAUGGCCCGUUUCUUGUCGUGGUGCCGCUCUCAACAUUGUCAAAUUGGGCAAAAGAAUUUCGGAAGUGGCUACCUGACAUGAAUGUUGUAAUUUAUGUCGGAAAUCGUGCUAGCAGAGAGAUGUGUCAGCAGCAUGAGUUUUUUACAAAUAAGAAGGGUGGGCGGCAUGUAAAAUUCCAUACUUUGAUUACUACUUAUGAGGUGAUACUUAAGGACAAAGUCGUCCUUUCAAAAAUCAAAUGGAAUUAUCUUAUGGUUGAUGAAGCCCACCGUUUGAAGAAUUCUGAAGCAUCACUGUAUAUUGCUCUUUUGGAGUUCAGCACCAAAAAUAAGCUGCUAAUAACUGGGACCCCUUUGCAGAACAGUGUUGAAGAGCUGUGGGCACUACUUCAUUUCCUUGAUCCAGUCAAAUUUAACAGCAAGGAUACUUUUGUUGAGAGAUACAAAAAUUUGAGUUCGUUUAAUGAAACUGAGCUUGCAAAUCUUCACAUGGAAUUGAGGCCCCAUAUUUUAAGGCGAGUUAUAAAAGAUGUCGAGAAGUCUCUACCUCCAAAAAUUGAGCGAAUUCUUCGUAUCGAAAUGUCUCCCCUACAGAAACAAUAUUACAAGUGGAUUCUAGAGCGAAAUUUUCAGAAUCUGAAUAAAGGAGUUCGCGGGAAUCAGGUCUCACUUUUGAAUGUUGUCGUCGAGUUAAAAAAGUGUUGCAACCAUCCAUUCUUGUUUGAAAGUGCUGAUCAUGGUUAUGGUGGAGAUAGCAUUGGUGAUCGCAAUAAAGUUGAACGUAUUGUUAUGAGUAGUGGGAAGUUAGUUUUGUUGGACAAGCUACUGCUGAGACUGCGGGAGACUAAUCAUCGCGUGCUUAUAUUCUCUCAGAUGGUGAGGAUGCUGGACAUCCUUUCUGAGUACCUAUCCCUUCGAGGCUUCCAGUUUCAGAGGCUUGAUGGCAGUACAAGAGCGGAUCUUCGUCACCAGGCCAUGGAACAUUUUAAUGCUCCUGGAAGCGAUGAUUUUUGUUUCCUUCUGUCUACACGUGCUGGUGGACUUGGUAUUAAUCUUGCAACAGCAGAUACAGUGAUAAUUUUUGAUUCAGAUUGGAAUCCUCAAAAUGAUCUACAGGCAAUGAGUAGGGCACAUAGGAUUGGGCAACAAGAUACUGUCAACAUCUAUCGUUUUGUCACCUGCAAAAGUGUUGAAGAGGAUAUAUUAGAGCGGGCAAAGAAAAAAAUGGUUCUUGAUCACUUGGUGAUUCAGAAGCUGAAUGCUGAGGGCAGGCUCGAGAAGAAAGAAACCAAAAAGGGUGGCUCCAUGUUUGAUAAGAAUGAACUUUCAGCCAUACUGAGGUUUGGGGCAGAGGAGUUGUUCAAAGAAGAGAAGACUGAUGAAGAGACCAAGAGGAAGCUUGAGAGCAUGGACAUUGAUGAAAUACUUGAGAGAGCUGAGAAAGUUGAAACAAAGGCUGCUGAAGGGGAAGAAGGAAAUGAGCUUCUUAGUGCUUUCAAGGUUGCUAAUUUUUCCAGCGGUGAGGAUGAUGCCUCAUUCUGGAGUAGACUAAUACAACCAGAUCCCGCAGAUAUGGGUCAGGAAACUUUAGCACCUCGUGCUGCACGGAAUAAAAAGAGCUAUGUGGAGGAUCACCAACUCGACAAAAAUAGCAGCAGGAAAAGGCGAGCGGUUGACGCACAAGAAAAGCCAAGGCGGCGUUCCAGCAGAACAGUCGACACAAUGGUUUCGUUACCAUUUAUUGAUGGAGCAGUCGCUCAAGUACGGAACUGGUCAUAUGGAAAUAUGCCUAAGAAGGAUGCCUCCCGCUUUGUUCGAGCGGUUAAAAAGUUUGGAAAUCCAAGCCAAAUUGGCUUAAUUGUGGAUGAUGUUGGUGGUGCAAUAGCAAAGGCUCCAUGUGAAGCACAAAUUGAGCUGUAUGAGUCACUCAUUGAUGGCUGUCAGGAAGCUGUGAAAGAGAACACAGACAUCAAGGGCACAGUGUUGGAUUUUUUUGGUGUACCAGUGAAGGCCUAUGAGUUGUUGGCUCGUGUUGAAGAGCUUCAAUGCUUGGCAAAGCGCAUCGCACGUUACAAAGAUCCAGUUAGACAAUACCGGAUCCAAUCACCUUACAAAAAGCCACAGUGGUCAGCAAGCUGUGGAUGGAUUGAAACUGAUGAUGCAAGAUUGCUGCUUGGAAUUCACUGGUAUGGUUAUGGAAACUGGGAGAAGAUACGAUUGGAUGCAAAGCUUGGGCUGACAACAAAAAUUGCACCAGCAACACUUGGUGAGAGAGAAACAUUUUUACCACGCGCACCAAAUUUGGAUAAUCGUGCUAGUGCUCUCCUGCAAAAGGAAUAUGCCAAUCUGAGUGGAAAGAGCUCAAAAGCCAAAGGAGGUGCUAGCCAAAAAGUCAAUAAUGAAAACGGUGGUGCUCGAUCGUUUAAAGGCCGGCAAAAAGAUGCAAAACCACAAGAGGAUAUUAAGUCGAACAAAGAUGACAUUAAGAAACGCAAGGUGGUGGAAGAAGCUGAAGCAAGAGAAGAGGGUGAAAUUUCAGAGUCUGAAGAACAGAUUAAAUAUCGUUUGGAAAAGGAGGAAAAGUGGCUGGAAUGGUGCUCUGAAGCUUUGGAUGAAGAGCAGGACAUAUUGAAACGCCUCGAUAGGUUACAGAAUACAAGUUUAAAUCUUCCGAAGGAAAAGGUUCUUUCAAGAAUUCGCCGGUACCUCCAGAUAAUCGGUGAAAAGAUUGGAAAAGUCGCUGCCCAACAUGUAGAAUCGUACAAGCAGUCCCGUAUGACCACAAGAUUAUGGAAUUAUGUGGCAAGAUUUUCAAAUAUGUCUGGGGAGCAAUUGUGUGAUCUCUAUUUAAAAGUUUGUCAGGACCAAAUGGAAGCUGGAGUCGGCCCCUCACAUGGUGGCAAUUUUGCACCCGCUCCUAACAGAGGUUCUUCAAAUCAGCCUCAUCCUCCUAGAAACCAAAGGUCAACAAGGUCUUUCCAGCACACUCCCGAGCCUCUUAAUAAUGGUGAAAACACUGGGAAUUCGGAAGCCUGGAAGCGCCGGAGGAGAGCUGAUCAGGAUAAUCAGUUUGACACCCAAACGAUGUAUCAACCUCCUCCAUUUAUGGCAAAUGGUAACAGGUCCCAGGAAUCUAGCAGUUCUGCUGGUAUUCUUGGUUGGGGUCCAGUCGAAAUGAGACGAUAUGGCACUGAAAGAUCAAAGAGAGGUGUUCAUCCCAGUCGUUUCCCUGCCGGGCAUGGGCCUUUGCUUUAG